AAACAGUCGUGCUGUGCUCCAUCUUGCCAGUGAUACACUCUCACUGGAGAGGAAGUCGCCUAUGGAGGUGCUGGCCCCAGAGCCUUCUGCUCCCAUCCUGACAUGCUCCCAUGUUGCCGUAUCAGGAGCCUGGGGUCUGCAAAGCGAAGAGGUUACCGUGUGGAAGGAGCUGGGAAGUGGCCCGUUUGGAGCAUCCUUCUGGGCAGGUGGAAGGGGCAGAAUGAUGUUCUGUUAAGGUGAUCAGGGAGCGCUCCAUGUCAGAAGAUGAAUUCUUCCAGGAGGCCCAGACCAUCAGAACAGUGGGCUGCACUCUGAGAAGUUCCUGUCUCUCCCCUGUAUCCUGACCAUCAUGUGGCAGGAGGAAUUGGUAGCAUUGUUGUUUUGCCUGUUGAAAUGUGUAAUAGGGCAGAUUCUUUCAGUUCCCUGACGUGGGUGAAGUGUGGAGCCCAGUGAUGACCUCUUUCUCCUAGCUCCCACACGAGGGUGAGCCCCCAUCCGACGGUGAGAGACCCUGCAUGUGUGUGACCUGUGUCUCCUGGGAGACCAGCCCUAGACUAGUUUGAACCUGUCCAGGUUUCGACUACAUGGUAGAUUUAGCCCUCUGUAAGUCCUAUCUACACAGAUGAUGUUUAGAUGAGACGAUGUGCUUUCUGAAAGAAAGUUACAUGGCUGGAAACAGCCCGGAGUUAAACUCCCCUCCGGGUCCUCCCCACCAUUCUAUGCAAAACAAAGAACUCUCUUACCC
This is a long non-coding RNA of Capra hircus (goat), 745 nucleotides long. RefSeq lists it as uncharacterized. Lineage: Eukaryota; Metazoa; Chordata; Mammalia; Artiodactyla; Bovidae. The record is from RefSeq and is a predicted model, not a curated record. The transcript is spliced from 2 exons.